CCUACGGGGUGCUGCAGUGGGGAAUAUUGGACAAUGGGCGAAAGCCUGAUCCAGCCAUGCCGCGUGUGUGAAGAAGGCCUUCGGGUUGUAAAGCACUUUCAGUGGGGAAGAAAGCCUUGGGGCUAAUACCCUCGAGGAAGGACAUCACCCACAGAAGAAGCACCGGCUAACUCCGUGCCAGCAGCCGCGGUAAUACGGAGGGUGCGAGCGUUAAUCGGAAUUACUGGGCGUAAAGCGCGCGUAGGCGGUCUGAUAAGCCGGUUGUGAAAGCCCCGGGCUCAACCUGGGAACGGCAUCCGGAACUGUCAGGCUAGAGUGCAGGAGAGGAAGGUAGAAUUCCCGGUGUAGCGGUGAAAGGCGUAGAGAUCGGGAGGAAUACCAGUGGCGAAGGCGGCCUUCUGGACUGACACUGACGCUGAGGUGCGAAAGCGUGGGUAGCAAACAGGAUUAGAUACCCUGGUAGUC
Molecule: ribosomal RNA, 465 nt
Filed under: Vreelandella stevensii
Lineage: Bacteria; Pseudomonadati; Pseudomonadota; Gammaproteobacteria; Oceanospirillales; Halomonadaceae
Description: partial 16S ribosomal RNA
Rfam family: Bacterial small subunit ribosomal RNA
Source: RNAcentral